CGAUGAAGAACGCAGCGAAUUGCGAUAUGUAAUGUGAAUUGCAGAAUUCAGUGAAUCAUCGAAUCUUUGAACGCACAUUGCACCCUCUGGUAUUCCGGAGGGUAUGCCUGUUUGAGUGUCAUUA
RNAcentral lists this ribosomal RNA (124 nucleotides) under Clavaria gibbsiae. Its description in RNAcentral is "partial 5.8S ribosomal RNA". It matches the Rfam family "5.8S ribosomal RNA", at positions 34 to 154 of the family's 154-position model. From Rfam's summary of the family: 5.8S ribosomal RNA (5.8S rRNA) is a component of the large subunit of the eukaryotic ribosome. It is transcribed by RNA polymerase I as part of the 45S precursor that also contains 18S and 28S rRNA. Lineage: Eukaryota; Fungi; Basidiomycota; Agaricomycetes; Agaricales; Clavariaceae. The record is from RNAcentral.